CCUCCGGCCCCCCACAGCACCACCUGCAGGCCUUGCCUGGGGCCGGCGGCUGACCGGGGCCAUCUGUCUUCAUUAGGCGGGUUUAUUUGGGGAGGCGAGCGAUGGGGGGCUGUCAUGGCUGAGGGAAGGCUUGAUCUAUCGGCAGACACGCUUUGAAGCUCCCUUCAAGGGUGUAGCUGUGCAGAUCGGAGGGGGGCG
This is a long non-coding RNA of Leopardus geoffroyi (Geoffroy's cat), 198 nucleotides long. RefSeq lists it as uncharacterized. NCBI's taxonomy places the organism in Eukaryota, Metazoa, Chordata, Mammalia, Carnivora, Felidae. The record is from RefSeq and is a predicted model, not a curated record. The transcript has 3 exons.